ACUCCUACGGGAGGCAGCAGUAGGGAAUAUUGGACAAUGGGCGCAAGCCUGAUCCAGCCAUGCCGCGUGAGUGAAGAAGGCCCUUCGGGUUGUAAAGCUCUUUGUUUGGGAAGAAAAGCCUUGGGUUAAUACCCCGGGUCCUGACGGUACCAAAGAAUAGCACCGGCUAACUUCGUGCCAGCAGCCGCGGUAAUACGAAGGGUGCAAGCGUUACUCGGGAAUUACUGGGCGUAAAAGCGUGCGUAGGGUGGUUCGUUAAGUCUGAUGUGAAAAGCCCUGGGCUCAACCUGGGAAUUGCAUUGGAUACUGGCGGGCUAGAGUGCGGUAGAGGGUAGUGGAAUUCCCGGUGGUAGCAGUGAAUGCGUAGAGAUCGGGAGGAACAUCUGUGGCGAAGGCGACUGCCU
RNAcentral lists this ribosomal RNA (404 nucleotides) under uncultured bacterium. RNAcentral's name for it is "bacterial SSU rRNA". It matches the Rfam family "Bacterial small subunit ribosomal RNA", at positions 335 to 730 of the family's 1533-position model. The record is from RNAcentral.